Molecule: ribosomal RNA, 228 nt
Filed under: Salmonella enterica subsp. enterica serovar Kentucky
Lineage: Bacteria; Pseudomonadati; Pseudomonadota; Gammaproteobacteria; Enterobacterales; Enterobacteriaceae
Description: partial 23S ribosomal RNA
Rfam family: Bacterial large subunit ribosomal RNA
Source: RNAcentral
GGGUUGUGAGGUUAAGCGACUAAGCGUACACGGUGGAUGCCCUGGCAGUCAGAGGCGAUGAAGGACGUGCUAAUCUGCGAUAAGCGUCGGUAAGGUGAUAUGAACCGUUAUAACCGGCGAUUUCCGAAUGGGGAAACCCAGUGUGAUUCGUCACACUAUCGUUAACUGAAUACAUAGGUUAACGAAGCGAACCGGGGGAACUGAAACAUCUAAGUACCCCGAGGAAAA